CCUACGGGUGGCUGCAGUGGGGAAUAUUGCACAAUGGGCGCAAGCCUGAUGCAGCCAUGCCGCGUGUGUGAAGAAGGCCUUCGGGUUGUAAAGCACUUUCAGCGGGGAGGAAGGCGUUAAGGUUAAUAACCUUGUCGAUUGACGUUACCCGCAGAAGAAGCACCGGCUAACUCCGCGCCAGCAGCCGCGGUAAUACGGAGGGUGCAAGCGUUAAUCGGAAUUACUGGGCGUAAAGCGCACGCAGGCGGUCUGUCAAGUCGGAUGUGAAAUCCCCGGGCUCAACCUGGGAACUGCAUUCGAAACUGGCAGGCUAGAGUCUUGUAGAGGGGGGUAGAAUUCCAGGUGUAGCGGUGAAAUGCGUAGAGAUCUGGAGGAAUACCGGUGGCGAAGGCGGCCCCCUGGACAAAGACUGACGCUCAGGUGCGAAAGCGUGGGGAGCAAACAGGAUUAGAUACCCCUGUAGUC
RNAcentral lists this ribosomal RNA (465 nucleotides) under uncultured Klebsiella sp. Its description in RNAcentral is "bacterial SSU rRNA". It matches the Rfam family "Bacterial small subunit ribosomal RNA", at positions 338 to 795 of the family's 1533-position model. Lineage: Bacteria; Pseudomonadati; Pseudomonadota; Gammaproteobacteria; Enterobacterales; Enterobacteriaceae. The record is from RNAcentral.